Molecule: long non-coding RNA, 690 nt
Organism: Macaca fascicularis (crab-eating macaque)
Lineage: Eukaryota; Metazoa; Chordata; Mammalia; Primates; Cercopithecidae
Source: Ensembl
CUCUCCCUCUACAAGGAGUUAAAUGAUUUGUCCCAAAUCACACAACUAGCAAGUGACAGGAUGAAAACUUGAAAGGAGAUUAUUUGACUUAUAAAUCCAGUUUCUCUUCAUUUCAUCAUAAAGCAGACUAUCAGAGGGAAUAAUGGAGUGACUAUGAAGCAACCGAACUCUGAUGCCCUUAACUGACCCAGCAGCCAAGAACAUCUGAAGAGGCGGAGAACAAACGAGAUAAGUGAUUUCUUAAGGAGGCUGAGAAGGAAUUGAUUCCAGAAAGAUACCACCACUCCUCAGUUAUGAAACCCAAGUGAGACCACAGUAUCCUGACUUCCAGCCUAGAGCUAUCUCUGAUUCAGUAAAUCUCUUCGCAGCAGCAUAUACACUGGGAACGGGAACUCUCACAGGUGCAGGACCCCGAUCAGCAACAACUUUGAAAUAAACUACAGCUCUCCUGUGCGCUAAAGGCAGAAAUGUGGAAAUAUUGAGAAAAUUCUUGUCUGCAUCACAGUAUGUAUAUCCUAGGAGGGCUUUCUUUUAAAAGAAAGAAACAUAUAUUGCAAAUAGGAGAGAUUUGACUGGGUCUAAGAUAAACCUCUCAACUUUGAGAACCAAGGUUUCUCAGAGAUUGAGAGGGGCUCACCCGAGCCAUCUUCAGUUUUUGAGACUCACAGUAUGUUAAAAAUUAAAUAUAAC